UACGUAGGGUGCAAGCGUUGCCCGGAUUUAUUGGGCGUAAAGGGCGCGUAGGCUGCGGGGCAAGUCGGGUGUGAAAUCUCAGAGCUCAACUCUGAAACUGCACUCGAUACUGCUUUGCUUGAGGACUGGAGAGGAGAUUGGAAUUCACGGUGUAGCAGUGAAAUGCGUAGAUAUCGUGAGGAAGACCAGUGGCGAAGGCGGAUCUCUGGACAGUUCCUGACGCUGAGGCACGAAGGCCAGGGGAGCAAACGGG
Molecule: ribosomal RNA, 253 nt
Filed under: uncultured bacterium
Lineage: Bacteria
Description: partial 16S ribosomal RNA
Rfam family: Bacterial small subunit ribosomal RNA
Source: RNAcentral